GAUUAAAAAAAAGAUGGAGCUGGGGUUUUCUUCUGUGGCCAUGGUGGACAGGACUAGAAGCCAUGGUCCUAAGCUGCAGCAGGGGAAAUUUAGGUUGGAGAGUAGGAGG
Molecule: long non-coding RNA, 109 nt
Organism: Gavialis gangeticus (Gharial)
Lineage: Eukaryota; Metazoa; Chordata; Crocodylia; Gavialidae
Exons: 4
Source: RefSeq, a predicted model, not a curated record